UUUGUGACAUACCUAUAACUGUUGCUUCGGCGGGUAGGGUCUCCGCGACCCUCCCGGCCUCCCGCCUCCGGGCGGGUCGGCGCCCGCCGGAGGAUAACCAAACUCUGAUUUAACGACGUUUCUUCUGAGUGGUACAAGCAAAUAAUCAAAACUUUUAACAACGGAUCUCUUGGUUCUGGCAUCGAUGAAGAACGCAGCGAAAUGCGAUAAGUAAUGUGAAUUGCAGAAUUCAGUGAAUCAUCGAAUCUUUGAACGCACAUUGCGCCCGCCAGCAUUCUGGCGGGCAUGCCUGUUCGAGCGUCAUUUCAACCCUCAAGCUCUGCUUGGUGUUGGGGCCCUACAGCUGAUGUAGGCCCUCAAAGGUAGUGGCGGACCCUCCCGGAGCCUCCUUUGCGUAGUAACUUUACGUCUCGCACUGGGAUCCGGAGGGACUCUUGCCGUAAAACCCCCCAAUUUUCCAAAGGUUGACCUCGGAUCAGGUAGGAAUACCCGCUGAACUUAAGCAUAUCAAUAAGCGGAGGA
This 522-nucleotide ribosomal RNA is filed under the name fungal sp. TA249. Its description in RNAcentral is "eukaryotic LSU rRNA". The stretch from base 150 to 303 matches the Rfam family "5.8S ribosomal RNA". Lineage: Eukaryota; Fungi. The record is from RNAcentral.